Molecule: long non-coding RNA, 203 nt
Filed under: Nicotiana benthamiana
Lineage: Eukaryota; Viridiplantae; Streptophyta; Magnoliopsida; Solanales; Solanaceae
Description: long non-coding RNA (NBEN_LNC037114)
Source: RNAcentral
UUUCAUUUAUCGAAAGUUCAUAAAUAUCCCCACCCUCGCCAAAAUCAACAAACAAAUCAGCUAGUGCGGCAAUAUAAACUAAACAAUUUGAAAUAGUAGGAUAAUAUUGCCCAGAAAAUGCAUUUGUAGCAACUUGAAAAUGUUCUAAAAAAUCUAAAAGAAUUUUAACAUUCGUCCAAUCUUAGGUAAUAAGCAUUUCAUCA